GAACGUGAUUGGAUGAAUCUGAAGUCCCGCUAAACACUGAAUUCACAGCCUCGCGCACAUUUAAUAUCGUGCGAGCUACUCGACAACCGCGAGUUUGGUAAGUGCGUGUUGCUGAGUUCGCAGAAUAUUAUGCAAGUUGUCAAAUGCAACUCAGAAUAGUUCAUGUUGAAAAGUUAUAAUGACGUAAAAGGGCCAUUAAUGAAACAGUAAGUUCAACAGCAAAGUGGGUAUUCUCAUCCUAAUAAUUUUAGCUAAGGUAGCGUUUUUUGUUAGCUAACAAAGCAGCAUUUCACACAUAUUUUAGCUAGCUGGUGCUACAUGUAGCAGCAAGUGUUUAGUUAUUUAGCACCACAGCCUACAUGCUAUAUAAAUUACCUGACCUGCAUUUGUUUAGGUGAUGGCAACUAAGUUGAUCUCAUCUAUACCACAGGAUUAACAGCAAAUCGCUUCAAGCAAAAAGACAACACAGGAGUUGAUUCUAUCGCCACAUGUCAAGAUGAGGGACAGACACAGGACCAUUACACCGGAAUGGACAGUCUUCCUUAUCGGGUCAGACAGUGAUGAACCUACCCACUAUCCUGAUGAACUUGCUCUUAAGGGCAGUGAGGCCUCCAGUUUUCUGCCACGGUGUUUACUCUCUGGCUGCCAAAGGAGGAAGAAGAGGGGAUCUAUUUGUCCCAAGGGUCGUCUGUAAAACACUGUCUGUGGAGGUGAUUUUAUAUGGGCCUCAAAGUAUUUGUAUCAACAUCGUGUCAGACCUGGAUACAAGGAGCCACACUCUGGAGGUCUGCCCUAUACCAGCCUCCACCAGCCACUUCAUCCUUUACAUGCGCCUUGCAUCCUGUCAGACUUGCAGGCUCGUAGGACACGUUCACACAAAGAGGGUUAAAGCUUUGUGGCACAUCAUACUGAAGUGCUCUGAAGCCACAGCGAAGACCUCUGCUUCAAGCUGCCGCCAUCAGAUUACGGGCCGCCAGGCUACACAUCAGCCUGCUGGAGGCUUGAUUAGCAGCAUCUGUGGGAGAGAAAAUUCAAGGGUGAGCAUGGGAGCCAACUUAUCUGCCAGCAGCAACUGGUCAUUUAAAAGCUAUGCAAGGCCUGGGCAACGCUUGGUCCUGAGCAGCGCCUUGUUAGGAUUAGGUCUUACUGUACUGUAUGGAGGUGAAACAAAACUAAUUUAAAUGUGUUUCUGAAUGACAUUUUUUAUCCAGCUACAGUUAGUUUUUAAAUGAUUUACGUUUACCUCGCACAUGGACCUUGUCAAAUUGUCCUUCCAUUGUCCAACGAGAAGAGACCUUUCAUGUCUAUUCACUUGUAGUCAGAUGUUAAUAAUGGACUUUACCACCUGUUCUAUACAUUCUGCUGCUAAGCAGUUUGUGUAAGUGCAAGGGACAUUGUAUGUGUAGACUUGUUCAGUUUGCCUUGCCUUUGGUGAAAUACACCUACUGACCUUUUUAUUAGGUACGUGUGCAGUUCAAUUCAAUCAGACUGUCAGCAAUUCUACCAGGUCAUAAUUUCUCUGUUUUUAAGUUCUAAAAGUUCUAUUUUUAUUAUUGAGCUCAUGUUGGGUAUAGGUCUUUUAUGGUGGUACUAUAUUAGGAGAUUGUUACCAAAAACACCAGAACCAUCCCAGCUGUGAGGCCAGUGAGUGUGUAUAAUGUACACCUCCCCUGUUCUUUGUUUCAAACUAUGCACACCUGACGCUGCCCAUGCAGGUGCACGCUAACAAAGCUCUGCUUUCUAGUAACCCCCACCGUAAACACAGAGAGCAGCAAUCACUGAAGCAGUGAUGUUGAACCUGCAUAGUUAAUAGGAAACCUGCCAUGUUGUUUGUCAUGUGCUCUGCCUAUGCAUCAUCAUCAUCAUUCAAAAUGAAAUUUCAGUAUAUACAAAAGCUCUGUUUUUAAGUUUGGUAUUAAUGUUACCUACGGCCUUUGACUAUUUACAGGCCCGAUAAGGAUCUUCCAUUAAUAGAAGCUUAAUUUUAGCUCCUUAGAUAUUUUUAUGAAGGGGAAUUUUACCUGUGCCUUCAUCUGCCCUGCAGCCAGACUGUGCAAAACCACAUCCUUGUACACUGGAAAAAGAGCAGGUUGUUUACACGAAAUGGCCAAAGCAAAGGUAUGAAAAUGUUCCCUUCCUGCUGACCCAGUCUGAAAAGAAAGUGCGGAAAGGCUGCUGGCUCCCUGCAGUGCUGACUCCUUUUCACAGUGUCAUAUUUAGAGAAGGCAGAAAUAAAACUGAACAAAGGAAGGAGAAGAAAUCA
RNAcentral lists this long non-coding RNA (2263 nucleotides) under Betta splendens (Siamese fighting fish). Its description in RNAcentral is "lncRNA (ENSBSLG00000023684.1)". Lineage: Eukaryota; Metazoa; Chordata; Actinopteri; Anabantiformes; Osphronemidae. The record is from RNAcentral.